AAACAUUCAGGACGGUAAAAUGCAGAACGCAAAUAGGAUUCACAGAAAAUGAUGGGCGCCCUGCUGUCAUCUGACCCAGCUCAGGCCGCCACUGUUGUGGAUGCCGGUGACCGCAAAACAUGGGAAGAGUGCAAGAAGAUACUCACUUCACUGAAAUUAUCCAGUGAAGACGCCAAGAAGAUGCUGAAGAAGGCGUUGGGAUGGAUCCAUUGGCCGUACUGGACCGAGGAGAGAAAGAAGGAGGUUCCGAGUACCGAGGUGGUAAAUGGAGUGCUGGACUACAUCAGGGCCCUCGGACUAUCUGACGACGAUCUUUACAAGCUGUUCAAGAAAUUCCCAGAGGCUCUUCGAUGCGAUCUUGAGAGCAAGGUGAAGCUGAAUGUCGGCAAGCUGGACAGCGACGGGGGGAUAAACGGGAAGACUCUCCAGAGUGUUCUUUUACGGAAUCCAAAGGUUUUGGGAUACAAUGUGGAUUGUAGAGGGGAUUGUGCGGCGCAGUGCACCGGCUUCUUGGUUAGGUUUUAG
This 525-nucleotide ribosomal RNA is filed under the name Triticum aestivum (bread wheat). RNAcentral describes it as "partial small subunit ribosomal RNA". Lineage: Eukaryota; Viridiplantae; Streptophyta; Magnoliopsida; Poales; Poaceae. The record is from RNAcentral.